RNAcentral lists this ribosomal RNA (497 nucleotides) under uncultured bacterium. Its description in RNAcentral is "partial 16S ribosomal RNA". It matches the Rfam family "Bacterial small subunit ribosomal RNA", at positions 28 to 507 of the family's 1533-position model. The record is from RNAcentral.
GAUGAACGCUGGCGGCGUGCCUAAUACAUGCAAGUCGAGCGAACAGACGAGGAGCUUGCUCCUUCGACGUUAGCGGCGGACGGGUGAGUAACACGUAGGUAACCUACCUAUAAGACUGGGAUAACUUCGGGAAACCGGAGCUAAUACCGGAUAAUAUUUCGAACCGCAUGGUUCGAUAGUGAAAGAUGGCUUUGCUAUCACUUAUAGAUGGACCUGCGCCGUAUUAGCUAGUUGGUAAGGUAACGGCUUACCAAGGCAACGAUGCGUAGCCGACCUGAGAGGGUGAUCGGCGACACUGGAACUGAGACACGGUCCAGACUCCUACGGGAGGCAGCAGUAGGGAAUGUUACGCAAUGGGGGAAAGCAUGACGGAGCAACGCGGCGUGAGUGAUGAAGGUCUUCGGAUCGUAAAACUCUGUUAUUAGGGAAGAACAGAUGUGUACGUAGCUGUGCACGUCUUGACGGUACCUAAUCAGAAAGCAACGGCUAACUACGUG